UCUUGUCCAAACAGCUAAUAUGGUGUUUAAAAUAACCAGUGUAUUUAAUCACAGACAUGUAUGUGUAACCAUAAACCUUAACGUGAUACAAAAGUCAGCAAGGUUAAUGCAUAGACUGGAAGACAUAAUGGCAGCAUUUGGCUUGUAUAAUUUGUAAUCUGAUUAUUUAGUUCAUUGGAUAUAGAGCCAAUAUGUCUCCAAGUCAGUAUUGUUUUCUGCUUUCAUGUUCUAAACACAAUUGCAUAAAUGCACAUGUGUUGCCAUUAACCAUAAUAUACCAUAUAAAUUUGUAUAUCCAUUGAAAUAUGUGUAGAUUUUUGCUUCCUGAAUCAGCGUUUCAUUCUAUAA
RNAcentral lists this long non-coding RNA (348 nucleotides) under Mytilus galloprovincialis (Mediterranean mussel). Lineage: Eukaryota; Metazoa; Mollusca; Bivalvia; Mytilida; Mytilidae. The record is from RNAcentral.